Molecule: RNA transcript, 3282 nt
Organism: Ailuropoda melanoleuca (giant panda)
Lineage: Eukaryota; Metazoa; Chordata; Mammalia; Carnivora; Ursidae
Gene: ADAT2
Gene name: adenosine deaminase tRNA specific 2
Exons: 5
Source: RefSeq, a predicted model, not a curated record
ACUUCCCUGGAAACGGUGGCCGGCAAUCGCCGCGUUCCGCUACCCGCGCUCCUCUGCCGCCCCAGCCUCUGGCGCUCAGCGCCGCGGCCCGGGUGCAGCAUGGAGGCGAAGGCUGCGUCCACGCCGGCUACUGGCGGCGGCGUGUGCUCGGUGACCGCGGAGGAGACCAAAAAGUGGAUGGAGGAAGCGAUGCAGAUGGCCAAGGAAGCCCUAGAAAAUAUUGAAGUUCCUGUUGGCUGCCUUAUGGUCUACAACAAUGAAGUUGUGGGGAAGGGACGAAAUGAAGUGAAUCAAACCAAAAAUGCUACUCGACAUGCAGAAAUGGUGGCCAUCGAUCAGGCCCUAGAUUGGUGUCAUCGAAGUGGCAAGAGUCCUUCUGAAGUAUUUGAACACACUGUGCUAUAUGUCACCGUGGAGCCAUGUAUUAUGUGUGCGGCUGCUCUCCGCCUGAUGAAAAUCCCACUGGUUGUCUAUGGCUGUCAGAACGAACGAUUUGGCGGUUGUGGCUCUGUUCUAAAUAUUGCCUCUGCUGAUUUACCAAAUACCGGGAGACCAUUUAAGGUAAUGUGACCCGUUUGUGCUUUUUCUUGCUAAUUACUUUGAUCUCUUUAUGGGGUUGGGAAUAGUUCACGCGUGGUCAGUAUACCAAAAAGCCAUGCUGGAACCAGGCAGACUCUGGGACCUCUUGUCAAGUUCAUGUAUGCCUCAGUAGAAGACGACAGUUAUCAUUUCCAGGUGAGUGCUUGGCCCUCUUAAUUAGCAGACUCUCUCCAGAAGGAGAGGCCAUGGCCUUCCCAGUUAUCUCCUGACAGUCUUCACCAACGCCAUCAGGUAUGUUUGGAGAUGCUGUCACUGUUGACAUUUUUCCCCAGCUCCAUGCUGUUCCACGCUUGUGUGAAGCUUGGCCUCUGUCAGUGACGGUAGAUGCUGUUUACAGUGCACACACAAUAUUUUUGCACAAAGCCGAUCGUUUUUGCUUUGUUGCUAUAUACUAGUUUUUGUGUUUUUUUUACAUUUUUAAAAAAGAUUUUAUACGUAUUUAUGAGAGACACAGAGAGAGAGAUUGUGGGGGGAAGAGCAGAGGGAGAGAGACAAGCGGACUCCGCACAGAGGGUAGAGCGCUACACGGGUCUCAAUCUCAGGACCCUGAGAUCAUGACCUGAGCCGAAACCAAGGGCCAGAUGCUGAACCGACUGAGCCACCCUGGCAUCCCUGUUCUAUGUAUUAUUUUUGGUGUCUAGCAAUGAAUACCUGUAUUUUCAUUAUUUUCCCCCUGCCUUUUCAAUAUUGAAAUUUCCCCCCAACCCAAGAAUUCAGAUUGCUUUCAUCUUCUCUUAAAAAGUUUACUUUCCCUUUAAUCUUGCUACCUGUCUCCAAGUUUUUAUAUUUAAGGCUAUAAACGUUAGGAAUUGAUAUUUCAGAAUUUGACUAGACACAUAGCAUUUUUCAGAAACUGGUUUGAUUGUUUUUUUCUCUCUAAGGUUAAUCCUGAAAUAUUAUGUUUUAAAAAGAAAAGAUUUAAUAAAUGCUGGAAAUGGUGGGUGGUUAACUUCAAAGGCCUCAGAUAUUCUUAGGAGAAUACUGAGUACCUAUGAAGGGCUAAAUUUGGCUGAAUCCCACUGAGAACAAGUUUUGGAAAACAUUCUAUUUUGAGUUUUCCCAGAUGAACAUUAGCUUUCCUAACAACUUCUGUACAUUUCAGAAUAGAUGACUUUUAACAUCGUAUCAGAAAAGAAAUUGUAAUAAAAUGAUGGCGAGUAAACAAUACAGUCAGCUUGACCAUUAAAAAAAUCUGCAAAGUAAUUUAAUUUUUCCAAUCACAUAUCAGUAGCGCAAAUUUUGCUUACAUAACUCUUUGCAAGUGAAUUGCUGAUUGUACUUCGUUUAUAAGGAAGAGCCAAAGAAUUUCUCAAAGCUUCUGGGCAGAACAAAGAUGUGCCCUUGGAUAUCAGACAUGGAUAGAAAAUUUCUCUCCAAUACAUCAGUGACAUUGGGUGCGUAAACAGUUCUCUCCUACACGUCUCUGCAGAGUUGAUCUGGCUGAACCGAAGGAUAAGUUUGUUUGUGGUGUGUGUGCUUGACCAGAUUGGCUCCAGGAAAAUGAAUGACCAUUGUUUGAAGCCAUAUCUCCAGACACAAAUUUGUAGCUAUAAUGGAUAAUUGAAAAUAUUGUCCUGGUAUUAUAGAGUGAUGCAGUUUCCUUCUCCAUCUGUAACUCGGUGGGUUUCAUCCCAGACUGCAUAUUACAGAGCUUUUAGGUGUGACUCUGGGAGGUCCCCACCCCAGACCAACUGGAUAAGAAGACGAGAGGGUGGAAGAGAAUAUUAGGAUUUUUUCUUCUUUUUUAGUUUUAUUUGUUUUUCACAGACCCUUGUGUCCAGGGGUGACUUGCAAUAGAUGGCAGGGAGGGAGCUGCUCUGCUGCAUGGGAAACCCUUCACCCAGAAGCAAGUUUCCUAUGAACAUUCAUUGGUGAUGGGUGAGAGGACAGGCCCCUUUACGGCUUUGCCCUGUUUCCUAAGAGAGGGGCUCACCAUACCAGACCCUGUACAGAUGGGACUCUAGGGGUGUGGGGGGUCACAUAGGCAGCCUUGGGCUGGGACUGCAGGGGUACGGCUAUCCGAGGCUCCAUGUUGCUAUCUUAUCUCCCACCUGGGUGGGAUUCUAACUUAGAGGCGUUCAGUCAUAAUCCCACAGAGUUCCCAGAUGAUUACACUGAGCAGCCAAGGUGGAGAGCCAUUGGUCUAAUCUCAUAGGAGAGGAGAGUGCUUUGUGCUGGUUGGUGUUCCCAAGAGCAUGAGGAGAGGCGGGAGCUCUGAGGAGAUGAACACUUCAUGUGGCACGAGGAGAAGGGGACUGAUCCCCCAUGGUCAGAAUGAUCUGAGAAGGUUGUGAGAACUAAGAAGCCUAGGGAGGAGAGAGCUCUAAAAAGAAGCGAGAAUGAUCAGUAGUCUCCACAACCGCAGAGACUUGAGGAGGUUGGAAAGGGCACCAGUGUUUUGGUCGGUAGGGGCCCUUGGGAUAUCUGGAAGCACGAGCCAGCGAGGCUAAGGUUGAAGAGGAAAUGAGAGCCACACAAGCAACAGCCAGGAGUCUGGAAUGUUCUCAGGGGCCAGCAGGGUAGCGGCUUGCCUGAGGGGCAGAAUGGAAGGAAGGUUAUUGGGAUUUUUUUCCCCCUCCAGCUUUACUGAGAUAUAAUUGACAUAUAACAUUGUGUUAAGUUUAAGGUAUACAAUGUGGUGAUUUGGGGGCGCCUGGGUGGCGCAGUCGUUAAGCAUCUGCC